RNAcentral lists this unclassified non-coding RNA (322 nucleotides) under Hevea brasiliensis (rubber tree). The record is from RNAcentral. Lineage: Eukaryota; Viridiplantae; Streptophyta; Magnoliopsida; Malpighiales; Euphorbiaceae.
GGGAUUCUUAGUUGUAAGCCCUCUGAGAAGGGAGAGAGAUGGGGAGGUUUAUGGGAUUGGCAGGAAUGAUGGCAAUGGUUGUCAUCAUGGUUGCGGUUUUCACCGAAGCACGGCUUCUUGAGAAAGACAACUUCCUUGGUGGAGGCGGCUUAGGGGGAGGUGCAGGUGGUGGUGGUGGUCUUGGUGGAGGUAGUGGUUUAGGAGCUGGGGGAGGGCUCGGCGGUGGAGGCGGGGCAGGUGGAGGCCUUGGGAGUGGUGGUGGUCUUGGUGAUGGUGGCGGGGCUGGAGGAGGUGCUGGUGGUGGCUUAGGAGGUGGUGCCGG